GGCUGUAGUUCAGUUGGUAGAGCAACGGUCUCCAAAACCGUCUGUCGCGGGUUCAAAUCCUGCCGGCC
This 68-nucleotide transfer RNA is filed under the name uncultured Treponema sp. It matches the Rfam family "tRNA". From Rfam's summary of the family: Transfer RNA (tRNA) molecules are approximately 80 nucleotides in length. Their secondary structure includes four short double-helical elements and three loops (D, anti-codon, and T loops). The record is from RNAcentral. Lineage: Bacteria; Pseudomonadati; Spirochaetota; Spirochaetia; Treponematales; Treponemataceae.